Helianthus annuus (common sunflower) is the source of this 2582-nucleotide long non-coding RNA. RefSeq lists it as uncharacterized. The record is from RefSeq and is a predicted model, not a curated record. The transcript is spliced from 5 exons. Lineage: Eukaryota; Viridiplantae; Streptophyta; Magnoliopsida; Asterales; Asteraceae.
CAAAAGGCAAGAACAAAUCUCCAAUUUUAACACUUUUUCUUCCCAUCAUGCCCCUCUCUCCCUCAAGUGAUCGUCAUUCACACCACAGCAACCGAAUGCAAUUGAAAGCAGACGCCAAUGAUAAGUCGGAGGAAGCCAAAGGUCGGAUGGAACAUUAAUACAAUUGAUUAUUGUCUCCUUUUGACGCACACCAUUUAUUUUCCUCUCCUGACUCUUUGGCACAACAUUCAUCAGAGCAUUCUUCUCAAAUUUCGUAAAUCAAAGAAGCAAAGCGAAGAAGAAAACCAAGGGUGAAAAUGGUUUGGCUUCUAGGUCUUCUGAAGAGGAUUCUAAUGAUUGGUGGUAUGAGUUCUCCAAGCAGAUUGCUGGUAGCUACAACCUACAGAUUCGUUUGAGUACUAUGAUGUGGUCACAACCACCACCUACAAGAGUCUUAGGGGACCGAGAGCCGGUAUGAUCUGUCAAAACCACAGAAGAAGAUGCAGUUUAUGACAAGAUCAGUUUUGCUGUCUUCCCAACUCUGUAGGGUGGUUCACACAACCACCAGAUCGGUGCACUAGCUGUUGCAUUGAAACAAUCCAUGUCACCUGGAUUCAAGGUGCUUAUGCUUCCUUGACAACCAAUUCAACUGUUACAGCCACUACUGCUUAGACGCCAUCUGCGGUUGUUGUUUCUUUCAGUAAUGGGUCAGUCAUAACUAUAGUCUCUAAAUGUUCUUUUUGUGCAGAAUACUGUUGAUCACAAACAUCUUUAAUCGUUCUUUCCGUAUUUAUUAACGUUUUGAUUCAUUGGAACAAAAGAAAGAUUUGAUUGACAGGUUGAUUAUGGGAAAUUUGCUGCUAUGCUGAGGAAAGGAAGUGGUGGAAAUAGGGAGGAGAACAAUGAGGAGUAAUCUGAAAUUUGUUGGUAUUCCAUGUCCCUUCAUUCUACAAACCUUAGGGGUUAUUCGACGAAUUCAACCAACUUCAAAAUGAUACAGUUGGUGAUAUUGAGUGAAAGAAAGUGAGGAGAAGUAAGGAGCUGACGUGUCAACGGGGGGCGUGUCAUGACCUUGGCGGCAAUCCAACGCACUUUUGGCGGAAAAUGAGCCUCCUUUAAGUAUUAACGCGGGAAUCCGAUGAACAUGUGUAACCGACUCUGAUCUCAUUCGGUCUCAGUUUGAAGUGUGUUUAUGUGAGAAGAAAUCUGCUGUAUCUGGAUAUGGUGGGACGUCAAUACAAUUGCUUGAUUAACCCUCUCGGGGCCAUCCGAUAAACGUUUGAUAAGGCGGUGGCAUUUGGUGCAGAUCCGACAUCGUUUGACGGUAAAGAUUGGGGCGUAUCAGAUCUGUUUCGAGAAUAUCUUUUUCAAAAUGACGCCGUCAGUCAGGUGAUUCUAGGGUUUAUGAAUUUCAAAACGACGACUUUCUAGGGUUUAUGAUUGUGACUACUUUUUUAAAUCACCCUGCUGUUUUGCGGGUGCUGAUUUUUUCCUUAGUUGGAUUAUUUUUAUUUUAUUUUAUUUUAAAUAUUAUUGAUUCAUAAGUUAAAUGAGCUUGAAUUCUCAUAAGUUAAACGAUGGGACCAUCUUCUAGAAGAGAUGGUAUGUGACCAUCUUUGCAAAGUUUUUAUGGGACUAGCUGUCUAUUCCUCAUGAGACCAACAUCAAGUUGUUAGUUAUAGUUGAUGCUUUUAAGCAUUGGGAAUUGGGAUGCAUACAAGGUAGGAGUGAAGCCCACUUAGAUAUUUGUUGCAGAAUUUUUUACAAAAAAGAAGUUUGUUUGUCCUCAAGAUAUACUAUUUUGUAAGUUUUUUUGUCCAAGAUAUACCUGUACAGUGAAGUUUUUUAUACAUAUGUGCCCUUCAGGAUGACUCAAAAUUGUAUACAUUUUAUGAGCUUGUAACAAAAGGUUCCCUUCUAAGUCUCUAUCAAACAUACCAUCUUCAACAUUGUCAAGUUGCCUCAUACAUACGCCUAAUCCUACAUGAUCUGAAGUUUGUGCAUGACCGUCAUGAGGUGCGCAGGUGAUAAUUUUUCAAUGAGAGAAACUGACGACUCCCGUCGGUGGCCAGCGGUGACAAUUUGCUACAGUAAAGGAUUUCGGCACAAAUCACAGUGGUGGUCAGGUUCAAGGAUGUGGUUGAUAAACCUUAUAAGCAGGGAACGUUUGAGCGGAUAUGGGAAGUAACUGGUAGAAUAUGAUGGAUGAUAUGAAGAAUGUGGUCACAGGUGCCAGUCGGUGCCGAUCUGAAGAAUUUAAAGACUAAUGUUUGAACUAUUGAUUUAAAAAGGUAAAAGAUUCAAUACAAUAUUGUGUUGAAUACUAGAUUUUAGUUUGGAUUUAAAGCUGAUGUUGGGCUAGAUGAUGGAGCAUCGGUGUCAAAGGGGUUGUGGUUAAGAUUGGUAUCAAAGCUGCUGAGAAGAUUGGGCAAACAUGUGUAUAACUUCUUACGGAUUUUUCGUUAAAUGGAAUAAAAUGUUAGAAACUUGGAAUGGGUUGUGGUUCGGAAUAGGCAUCAUAAUUGAAUUUGAUAUCAGUUGGGACACCCGCCGCAACGCGCGGACUUUCCCACUAGUAUAAUAUAAAAGAUUUACUUGAUACU